CGGGCGCAGCUACUCUGCAGUCGAGCGAUGGUCAGGAGCUUGCUCUUAUGGGUUAGCGGCGGAGGGGUGAUUAACACGUGGGUAACCUGCCCAUAGGACUGGGAUAACUCCGGGAAACCGGGGCUAAUACCGGAUAACAUUUUGAACCGCAUGGUUCGAAAUUGAAAGGCGGCUUCGGCUGUCACUUAUGGAUGGACCCGCGUCGCACUAGCUAGUUGGUGAGGUAACGGCUCACCAAGGCGACGAUGCGUAGCCGACCUGACAGGGUGAUCGGGCACACUGGGACUGACACGCGGCCCGGACUCCUACCGGAGGCAGCAGUGCGGAAUCUUCCACAAUGGACUAAAGUCUGACGGAUCAUCUCCCCGUGAAUGAUGAAGGCUUUCCGGUCAUAAAACUCUGUUGUUAGGGAAGAACAAGUGCUAGUUGAAUAACCUGGGACCUUGACGGUACCUAACCUUAAAGCCACGGCUAACUACGUGCCAGCAUCCGCGGUAAUACGUAGGUGGCAAGCGUUAUCCGGAAUUAUUGGGCGUAAAGCGCGCGCAUGUGGUUUCUUAAGUCUGAUGUGAAAGCUCACGGCUCAACCGUGGAGGGUCAUUGGAUACUGGGAGACUUGAGUGCAGAAGACGACAGUGUAAUUCCAUGUGUAGCGGUGAAAUGCGUAGAGAUAUGGAGGAACACCAGUGGCGAACGCGACUUUCUGGUCUGUAACUGACACUGACGCGCGAAAGCGUGUGCGAGCAAACAGGAUUACGAUACCCUGGUAGUCCACGCCGUACACUGAUGAGUGCUAAGUGUUAGAGGGUUUCUCGCCCUUUAUUGACUGGAGGUUCACGCAUUACGCACUCCGCCGUGGGGAGUACUCGCCAGCAACGCUGCAAACUCAUAGGACUUGAUUGGCGUCCCGCACAACGCGAUGGGAGCACUGUGGCUUUACCUUCUCAAGCACUACGACAAUCGUGACUACGUCUUGAUCAUCUCUGACUAGCCCUGAAGAUAUGGGCUUCAUCCUUCGCGAGCAGAGUGACAGUCGCUGCUAGUUGCUCGUCAUUCUCUGUCAUGAGAUGUGGGGACUGACGUCCGCUACCAGCGCGACCGUUGAUCUGACUGCAGUCAUUCAGUGCGCUACUCUGAGGUACUGCCGUGACUAAACUGAGCAAGCUGGGGAUACUCUAAACUGUCGUAGACUGGCUACCACUGCUACAUUGAACGGUUGACAAAAUAC
This 1228-nucleotide ribosomal RNA is filed under the name Bacillus sp. (in: firmicutes). Its description in RNAcentral is "bacterial SSU rRNA". It matches the Rfam family "Bacterial small subunit ribosomal RNA", at positions 41 to 1247 of the family's 1533-position model. The record is from RNAcentral. Lineage: Bacteria; Bacillati; Bacillota; Bacilli; Caryophanales; Bacillaceae.